CAGCCGCCGCGGGAAUACGAGGGAUCCUAGCGUUGUUCGGAAUUACUGGGCGUAAAGCGUGCGUAGGCGGCUUGGUAAGUUAGAGGUGAAAGCCUGGAGCUCAACUCCAGAAUUGCCUUUAAGACUGCCGAGCUAGCAGGUGAGAGAGGUAAGUGGAAUUCCGAGUGUAGAGGUGAAAUUCGUAGAUAUUCGGAAGAACACCAGUGGCGAAGGCGGCUUACUGGCUCAUACUGGACGCUGAGGUGCGAAAGCGUGGGGAGCAAACAGGAUUAGAUACCCCCGUAGUCCCUGUCUCUUAUAU
RNAcentral lists this ribosomal RNA (301 nucleotides) under uncultured bacterium. Its description in RNAcentral is "partial 16S ribosomal RNA". It matches the Rfam family "Bacterial small subunit ribosomal RNA", at positions 509 to 809 of the family's 1533-position model. The record is from RNAcentral.